AGGAUUUGCUUAGGUGAUUAUGAAUACGAACCUUGGAAACUUCAACUUAUCAGAAGAAUCUGUAAUGUGCAGACUCUGUGGCUAUCACAGUCUUCUGUUGAAUUGUUUGGUCAUGUUAGUAAGAAUGAGCUCCCCAUGUUUCCGAACUUGACUCAUCUGGAGAUUGAAUUUGAACAUAGUAUGUUCCAGAUGCUAAAAUGUGCUCCUAAGCUAACACAUUUAACUGUGGAUGUGAAGCGGUCAUUAACGGUUAACAAUCUCCCAUUUCCAUCUGAAAUCAUACCUCCAUGUAUUUCAUCUAUUUCAUAUAUUGAGAUUCGAAGAUUCUCUUGAUUGGAAAUUGACACAAAACUGGUAAUGUACAUCUUAAAGAAUGCAAUGGUGUUAAAGGAGUUGAAAAUACACAUGCAUCGCGCAAGCAUGAAACGUGAAAGGGAUGCAUUCAAGCAGCUACUAAGCUUUCCUAGGAUCUCCUUUUGCGAAUUCAUUAUUUGUUCUUUCUGUGAAUCAGAAGCAUUGCCCCUUGAUUUCCCAAUUCCUUUUUUUUUUGAAAGGAAGUGUCACAGGGACAAUUGACUUUCCAUCUCUUAUCAAUAACCUCAGUAUGUGGAAUAAUUAACUCCAAUGUCCUCAUUUUGGAGGAAACUUUAAUGUUUUUAAUGUGAUUGAAGACAAUAUGCACUCUGUACA
Chenopodium quinoa (quinoa) is the source of this 690-nucleotide long non-coding RNA. RefSeq lists it as uncharacterized. The record is from RefSeq and is a predicted model, not a curated record. The transcript is spliced from 3 exons. NCBI's taxonomy places the organism in Eukaryota, Viridiplantae, Streptophyta, Magnoliopsida, Caryophyllales, Amaranthaceae.